AGCAGCCGCGGUAAUUCCAGCUCCAAUAGCGUAUAUUAAAGUUGUUGCAGUUAAAAAGCUCGUAGUUGAAUUUCGGGAUCAGUACGCUGGUCAUGCCUUUGGUAUGCACUGGUGUCACUGGUUUCUCCCUUCUGAAGAACCGUGAUGUCAUUAAUUUGGUGUCGCGGGGAAUCAGGACUGUUACUUUGAAAAAAUUGAGUGUUUAAAGCAGGCUCACGCUUGAAUACAUUAGCAUGGAAUAAUGAAAUAGGACGUUUGACCCUAUUUUGUUGGUUUCUAGGAUCGACGUAAUGAUUAAUAGGGAUAGUUGGGGGCAUUAGUAUUCAAUUGUCAGAGGUGAAAUUCUUGGAUUUAUUGAAGACUAACUACUGCGAAAACAUUUGCCAAGGAUGUUUUCAUUAAUCAAGAACGAAAGUUAGGGAUCGAAGACGAUCAGAUACCGUCGUAGUC
This 450-nucleotide ribosomal RNA is filed under the name uncultured Glomeromycotina. Its description in RNAcentral is "SSU rRNA". It matches the Rfam family "Eukaryotic small subunit ribosomal RNA", at positions 569 to 1025 of the family's 1831-position model. The record is from RNAcentral. Lineage: Eukaryota; Fungi; Glomeromycota.